CAAAUCUUUUGGGGUGGUGGGGGAGCUGGUCUAGGCUGGCUUAACCCGCUGCAUCCAACAUUGGCACAGGGCCGCGAGGCUCUGAUGUUUACGCUUGUUUGUUUGACAGAUUUACUUGAGACUAAAAUAUAGA
Molecule: unclassified non-coding RNA, 133 nt
Filed under: uncultured Rozellomycota
Lineage: Eukaryota; Fungi; Rozellomycota
Description: uncultured Cryptomycota sequence contains ITS1
Source: RNAcentral